Molecule: unclassified non-coding RNA, 2104 nt
Filed under: Haliotis rufescens (red abalone)
Lineage: Eukaryota; Metazoa; Mollusca; Gastropoda; Lepetellida; Haliotidae
Description: arrestin domain-containing protein 3-like, transcript variant X1
Source: RNAcentral
CGUUGUAUGUCAAUAUGUCGCAAUGCAUAGAUAACAUAUACUUCCCUCCAUAUUGUCUGAUCGCGAACCUACACCGGUCUACACGCAGGAGUUUCUACCAUGGGCAAACUGAACAUAUUUGCAAUAAGUUUAAAUAAUCCCCAAGGAGUGUAUUACCCGGGCCAGGUCCUUGAGGGACAUGUCACAGUGGAACUGAAUGGGGAAAUGAAAAUGAGAGGCAUAAGGCUCCAAUUCUUCGGUGGUGCUACUGUGAGAUGGUCGGAGUCACAUUCGACGGGAUCAGGGAAGAACAGACGGACUACUACUAGAAUUUACUCAUCGCAGGAGAACUACUUCAGCUAUGAACUGGUUUUAUUUGGGAAAGCGUCAGGACAAGGGGGGGAUAACCCUUCUCUACCGGCAGGACGUUAUACAUACCCCUUCCGAUACCAACUGCCAGCUGGACUCCCCUCCUCGUUUGAGGGCUCUGUAGGGAGGAUAAGAUAUUGGCUCAGUGGUAUCAUUGACAAGCCAUGGAAAUUUGACCACACAACGAAAAGGGCUUUUACAGUUGUCAAUCUUUUGGACCUCAACACUGAACUUGGGGCUAUGGAAGGUGCAAGGGGUGAAAAUGAAAAGACUCUGUGUUGCUUAUGCUGCAAAUCUGGACCAAUCAGCUGUAGGUUUGAAAUUGACCGAUGUGGCUAUGUUCCGGGGGAAUCAAUUCCUAUCAAAGCUGAGAUCAUCAACCACAGUAACAGGAGAAUGACCAGAUCAUAUGCUGAAUUAUACAUGGUCGUGAAGUACCACGCAACACGGAAGUCACGAACAAACUUUCAGAAAAUAGGGGAAAUAUCACAUGGAGAAAUCCUUCCUGGUGACUCUGAUUCAUGGAAUGGGGACCUUCUGAGGAUACCACCAGUGCCGCCAUCCAAGUUACAGGGAUGCAGAAUAAUCGAAAUUGAGUAUUUCGUAAAGUUCUGUGUGAAUCCUUCUGGACCCGCAUUCCAGUUAGAAGUACCGCUCAGGCUGAUCAUCGGAUCCAUACCACUCAGGUCCACACUCCAGCAGUACGGGUUUGCUCCUCCACCCCAGGGCCCCGACCAGUCCCAGCUGCACCAGGGAGGGGCACAGGCUUCAGCUCAAUACACAAUGCCACCUCCAUCCUACGCAGAAAGUGUGUUCGGCACAGUGGACAUAAAGGAUGAUGCCGACACGGAGUAUACCAAAGGAGAAAUGAACUAUGCUCCAGUGUACACGUACUACAACUGGGAACAAACAGCUCAGCCUUCUGCUCCUCCACAAUAGAUGCAUCUUCUUCAAUAGCAUCUGAAACAAUAUGGAACUGCUCAGCUGACAGCUCCUCAGCAACAUACAGCAGCCCAGCCAUCACCUCAACCACACUAGUUACAUCUUCAUAGCGUGAAUGUUCAACAUGCACCACCUCAGCAUUCAGCUCCUCAACACCUGACACAUCUUCUUCAAUAGCAUCUGUAGCACCAUACAGCAGCCAAGCCAUCAACUCAACCACAUUAGUUCGAUCUUCAUAGCGAGAAUGUGCAACAUGCACCACCUCAGCAUUCAGCUCCUCAACACCUGACACAUCUUCUUCAAUAGCAUCUGUAGCACCAUACAGCAGCCAAGCCAUCAACUCAACCACAUUAGUUCGAUCUUCAUAGCGAGAAUGUUCAACAUGCACCACCUCAGCAUUCAGCUCCUCAACACUAGACACAUCUUCUUCAAUAGCAUCUGUAGCACCAUACAGCAGCCAAGCCAUCAACUCAACCACAUUAGUUCGAUCUUCAUAGCGAGAAUGUUCAACAUGCACCACCUCAGCAUUCAGCUCCUCCACAGUAGAUACAUCUUCACCAGUAGCAUCUGUAACAACUUGCAGAAGCCUAGACAUCAACUCCAGCACAAAAGAUGCAUCUUCAUCGCUACUAUUUCACACCCAGCCACAGCGUUAGAUUCGAAUAAUAUUCGAGUGAGUAAGUUUUGUUUAGGGCCGCUUUUAACAGUAUUCCAGUUAUAUCACGGCGUGUCAGCUUAAUGUGGGAGGAAAGCCCCAAGUGAUGCAGGUCUCAGGCGUUUACCACUUCAGUGAAACCCACGACCACGAGUAUGG